RNAcentral lists this ribosomal RNA (454 nucleotides) under Thyridium limonesiae. Its description in RNAcentral is "Phialemoniopsis limonesiae partial large subunit ribosomal RNA". It matches the Rfam family "Eukaryotic large subunit ribosomal RNA", at positions 109 to 575 of the family's 3401-position model. The record is from RNAcentral. Lineage: Eukaryota; Fungi; Ascomycota; Sordariomycetes; Thyridiales; Thyridiaceae.
UCAAAUUUGAAAUCUGGCUUCGGCCCGAGUUGUAAUUUGUAGAGGAUGCUUUUGGUGCGGUGCCUUCUGAGUUCCCUGGAACGGGACGCCUUAGAGGGUGAGAGCCCCGUAAAGUUGGACACCAAGCCUAUGUAAAGCUCCUUCGACGAGUCGAGUAGUUUGGGAAUGCUGCUCAAAAUGGGAGGUAAAUUUCUUCUAAAGCUAAAUACCGGCCAGAGACCGAUAGCGCACAAGUAGAGUGAUCGAAAGAUGAAAAGCACUUUGAAAAGAGGGUUAAAAAGUACGUGAAAUUGUUGAAAGGGAAGCGCUUAUGACCAGACUUGUGCCCUGCGGAUCAUCCAGCCUUCUGGCUGGUGCACUUCGCUUGGUUCAGGCCAGCAUCGGUUCUCUGAGGGGGAUAAAAGCUUCAGGGACGUGGCUCCUUCGGGAGCGUUAUAACCUGUUGCAAAAUACC